RNAcentral lists this microRNA (22 nucleotides) under Hyalella azteca. RNAcentral describes it as "miR-2398-1". Lineage: Eukaryota; Metazoa; Arthropoda; Malacostraca; Amphipoda; Hyalellidae. The record is from RNAcentral.
AUCUAGGGACGCGUCGGCGGUA